AAGCCAUGAUGUGGACACUGAUUGGUGUAGCUUCGAAACCAAUCCCAAGCUUCUCCGAAGCUUUCGUUUGUGUGAUGAGUGAAACUUGAGAUUUGAUUUCUGAGCUU
Small nucleolar RNA from Eutrema salsugineum, 107 nucleotides. It matches the Rfam family "Plant small nucleolar RNA R71". Rfam says of the family: R71 is a member of the C/D box family of snoRNAs containing the C (UGAUGA) and D (CUGA) box motifs. Multiple nearly identical copies of this snoRNA have been identified in Arabidopsis, and it is thought to function as a 2'-O-ribose methylation guide for 18S ribosomal RNA. Lineage: Eukaryota; Viridiplantae; Streptophyta; Magnoliopsida; Brassicales; Brassicaceae. The record is from Rfam.